This 757-nucleotide ribosomal RNA is filed under the name uncultured bacterium. RNAcentral's name for it is "bacterial SSU rRNA". It matches the Rfam family "Bacterial small subunit ribosomal RNA", at positions 171 to 903 of the family's 1533-position model. The record is from RNAcentral.
AAUAGUAUCCGGUUCCGUGAAGGGGGCCGGGGAAAGGGAGGCCUCUGGUACAAGCUUCCGCUCCUGGAUGAGCCCAUGGCCCAUCAGCUAGUUGGUAGGGUAAAGGCCUACCAAGGCGACGACGGGUAGCUGGUCUGAGAGGACAACCAGCCACACUGGCACUGAGACACGGGCCAGACUCCUACGGGAGGCAGCAGUGAGGAAUAUUGCGCAAUGGGGGCAACCCUGACGCAGCAACGCCGCGUGUGGGAAGAAGGCUUUCGGGUUGUAAACCACUUUUGCCCGGGACGAAAGGGGGGACCUGAAUAAGGUUGCCCGAUGACGGUACCGGGAGAAUAAGCCACGGCUAACUCUGUGCCAGCAGCCGCGGUAAGACAGAGGUGGCAAGCGUUGUUCGGAGUUACUGGGCGUAAAGAGUCUGUAGGUGGUCUGUCAAGUCUUUGGUGAAAGGCCGUGGCUUAACCAUGGGGAAUGCCAAAAGAGACUGGCAGACUGGAGGCUGGGAGAGGGAAGCGGGAAUUUUCUGGUGUAGCGGUGAAAUGCCGUAGAUAUCAGAAGGAAGGCCGGUGGCGAAGGCGGCUUCCUGGAACAGACCUGACACUGAGAGACGAAAGCGUGGGGAGCAAACAGGAUUAGAUACCCUGGUAGUCCACGCCCUAAACGAUGGGUACUAAGUGUGGGAGGGUUAAACCUCCCGUGCCGCAGCCAACGCAGUAAGUAUCCCGCCUGGGGAGUACGGCCGCAAGGUUGAAACUCA